Non-coding RNA from Colletotrichum orbiculare MAFF 240422, 117 nucleotides. NCBI's taxonomy places the organism in Eukaryota, Fungi, Ascomycota, Sordariomycetes, Glomerellales, Glomerellaceae. The record is from Rfam.
UCGGAGUGGGACCUCCUAUCGAACUCACCUCUUGCCUUUUACCAGAUGUGACCGUUGGAUGGCCCAACAGACUCCAUUCCACCAAUCUUUGGACACCAUCGUCUGGACUACCCGGAU